This 201-nucleotide ribosomal RNA is filed under the name uncultured bacterium. Its description in RNAcentral is "partial 16S ribosomal RNA". It matches the Rfam family "Bacterial small subunit ribosomal RNA", at positions 524 to 721 of the family's 1533-position model. The record is from RNAcentral.
UACGGAGGGUGCAAGCGUUAAUCGGAAUUACUGGGCGUAAAGCGCACGUAGGUGGUUUUCUAAGUCAGCUGUGAAAUCCCCGGGCUCAACCUGGGACUUGCAGUUGAAACUGGAAAGCUAGAGUAGGGUAGAGGGGUGUGGGAAUUCCAGGGUGUAGCGGUGAAAUGCGUAGAUAAUCUGGAGGAACAUCAGUGGCGAAGG